Long non-coding RNA from Bombus huntii, 306 nucleotides. RefSeq lists it as uncharacterized. The transcript is spliced from 2 exons. NCBI's taxonomy places the organism in Eukaryota, Metazoa, Arthropoda, Insecta, Hymenoptera, Apidae. The record is from RefSeq and is a predicted model, not a curated record.
GAAUCUGCAUUACAAAUGUAAUGAUUUCCUUCUUAAUUUUGGAAGAUUUGACUCUGGAUCCUUUAAUUGGUUAAUUGGAAGUUAAAUGCACUUUGCUAAAAGGUGAAAGGAUACGAUACGUUUCAAAUGGAAAUAUUGCGCCAGCAGAUUUGCAUGUUCAGAAUUCUGAAUAAGGAAUAGUAGCACAAAGUAAACACGAGGCGAAGAAAUAAGCAAUGUACAUCAAUGGGAAAGAAUUCACGAUGAGUUUUACUUUUUCAAUGGCUUUAAGCUUAUUUCGUUUUUAUUAAAUCAUGCAAAAGCUAA